Molecule: non-coding RNA, 281 nt
Organism: Otolemur garnettii (small-eared galago)
Lineage: Eukaryota; Metazoa; Chordata; Mammalia; Primates; Galagidae
Source: Rfam
GCCUGGGGUCCCAGCUACUUGGGGAGGCUGAGGCAGGAGGAUCACUUGAGCCCAGGAGUUCUGAGCCAUAGCAUACUAUGCUAUUUGCAUGUCCACACUAAGUUUGGCAUCUAUAUGGUGACCUUCUGGGAGCAGGGAAUCGUCAGCUUGCCUAACGAGGGGUGAACUAGCCCAGAUCAGAAAUGGAACAGGUCAAAACUCCUGUGUUGAUUAGUAGUGGCUUGUGCCUAUAAAUAGUCAUUGCACUCCAGCCUGGGCAACAUAGCAAGACCUUGACUCUU